AGGGAUAUAGCUCAGUGGCAUGGUGCCUGCCUGGCAAGCACGAGGUCCUGAGUUUGAGUCCCAGUUCCUA
RNAcentral lists this transfer RNA (70 nucleotides) under Cavia porcellus (domestic guinea pig). It matches the Rfam family "tRNA". Rfam says of the family: Transfer RNA (tRNA) molecules are approximately 80 nucleotides in length. The record is from Rfam by way of RNAcentral. Lineage: Eukaryota; Metazoa; Chordata; Mammalia; Rodentia; Caviidae.